UAUUAACAACUGCUAAUUGAACACAUGACUUUUUUAACAUAUGUCCACUUCCAUCUCAAUACAGAUUAUACAAGCCCUUUGGUAGUGCAACAACUCUUAUGUGUACAGACUACAGACAAGCAUAUUUUGGAUAGGAAACAAACUCUUUUGCCAUAGGCACCUAUUUAAAAAGUUUACUGUUAGAUACAUUCACAAGGUUCAUCAUGCACCAUUCCAUAUAAAAAAGGAACACAAUAACAUGGAAAGAAAUGGUGCAAAUAAAUGAUAAUUCCUGUGACACCUCUACGCUCGUCUCCAAUAGCAGAAUGCCUGUAAGCAAGCUUCCUUUUUGUUGCCAUGAUCAUAGGGUGAACUGAAAUAGCCAACCUCAAAUCAUACAAGGUCAAGUAUCUCCAAUCAUCAUAUUCACUCAAAAGCAUUGAGAUUGGGUUUCAUCAUAGUUCCAUAUACAAAAAACAGAGACUCUGCCCAAAUGAGCAGUUGAAUGACUCAUGAAGAAUAGUGACAGAAACAAUAUAUAGUAACUACACAAACAAAGUAGAAUGAAUUAUGUAAGUACAGUCUAUUGGAAGAUUUCAUCUAUGGGGCAAAUCAUAGUAGCUUGCAAAGGGAUAAAUGCAUUGCCACACAUCUUAUCUAGAGAAGAGAAACACAAAGCAAGGAUCAAGCAUAGCUAGCAUUGGAUCAGCACCACAUGUGCCCACUGCCUCUGGUGCUUCUGUACAUAAGAAUGAGCAUUCAGUAAGAGUGCCUAAAAACGUCUCAGUACAAAACAAUGUGGUGGAAGGAUGAGAAAUAACAACAAUAGCAACUUUACUAAUACAAAGUUCCUAGAUUAAUAUAACAUUAAAAUUGCAAAGAAUAGCUCUGUAGAAAGAUGGAAGUUGUACCUCGAAGCAGCCCCUCUAGCCACAUCAUGAACUUCAGGCUUCUCAAUUGUCUUAUUUUGAAAACUCCAAAAAUGCAGGAACAAUUGAGCAUGAGUAUAGAUUAUAGAUGUGACACAUCCUGACACCUUCAACAUGAAUGUCCUAUAGUUAAAAUUAUGUGGCUGCAAUAUAGCUGCAAGCACAAUCAGAUCAGGAGCCUGUUUUAAAAUUAUGUAACUCAAUAGCUAGAGAACUAUCAGUAGAUAAACAAGGGCACAUUAACAUCAUAUAUAUUGCACUCCUAUCAAGUUUAGCGAUCAUUAUAGCUAAUUUAAUUACAGUAGAUAAACAAGAGAAGUGACCUAUAAAUUCCAACACUUGUUGCAUAGAGCUAUCUUAUGUGGAGCAACUUCAUAGAGCAAGUGCAUUCUGGAUAUCAGUCCCAAAUCAGCCUUUUUUUACUUCAGCUCUACGAUAACUACUUCAUAUAGCAAGUUCAGGGAUUGGAGAAUAAACUCACAUAUGCCAAUAAUUAAGAAAUGACGCGGGUUUAGAAUGAGGCCAAAUCCAGUGUAACAAAUCUGCUUACCAAAACCCACCAACAUUUUAUUGGCCUAGUCAGGUAGCCUACUUUGCAUGUCCUUGCCAUUAUCAUGCACUUUACCCUUUUAAUUCCACAAAGUAGCAUUGCAAGGGCUGUCCUUAAUUAUACUCCAGUUAGCAGCAGCACUCAUGAAGUCAUGAUUAGUGCCGUGCUAAGCCAAGCUGACACCAAAAAAAGUAGAGUAUAAAAAUUUAUUUCAUGUUAUAUCUAACUAUUACUAAUUUUGUGUCAAAACUCAUAAAUAUUAAUCUUUUUUCCUAUAUAAAUUUCUUCAAACUUAAAAACAAACUCAAACUUAGGACAACUGACAUAGGGAGUAGCAGGACGAUGACAUAUUUAGGCAAUUUGGAUUCACACGUUAUUAACUAAAUAAAAAAUAGGAAUAAGACAUCCUUUAAGUUUUGUGCAGAACACGGAAAGUGUGUUUCAUGCUUCAGCAUAAAUAAAAACUCCAGAAUCCAAAUUUAGUACUUUUACCAAAGGCCGGAUGGGGAGGCAGAGAGUUGUCGAGAUGAUCCAUAGACGACUCCACCCCAAAUAAAAGAAAAUUAGGUCUCAGAAUACAGAAGUUAGGUCCCAGCUAACGCAGAGGAGGUUACCACUAUAGGCAUGUUCUGCUGGAUCUUAUGGAUUUGUGUGCAGAGCAGUUAGGUCUGCUUUUAUCCAGUGAGCCGCGAUUUGGGGAAGAUGCAACAUGUUGAAGCCGCUAGUGCCAGCAUGCUCGCCUUGGAGGGUGGACGACGGAAAGGCAGAUAUGUGCCGGAUCUUCCACCUCUUCGUCAGUUCGUCCACCAUGACCGGAUUUGCUCGAUGUCAGAUCUCGCACGCCGCCGGAUCCCGCACGGCUCGACAUACUCCCUCGCACUUAGAGCAUCCCCAACCGUUUUGCAAAUAAGCUUUGCAUUCAUGUAUUUGCAAAAAAAUCUUAAAAACACUUAUGUAACGGUUUGGAAUUUAGACUUUGCAAUUUUGUUAACUUGGCAAAAAGAGAGGAAGGAUUGGCAUAUAUGUCAAACCUGUUCACACUUGGCAUUGGGAAAUUGGCGCGAAGUGAUUAAUGCCAAACCAUU
This 2543-nucleotide long non-coding RNA is filed under the name Sorghum bicolor (sorghum). RNAcentral's name for it is "long non-coding RNA (SBIC_LNC018060)". The record is from RNAcentral. Lineage: Eukaryota; Viridiplantae; Streptophyta; Magnoliopsida; Poales; Poaceae.